This 371-nucleotide ribosomal RNA is filed under the name uncultured organism. RNAcentral describes it as "partial 16S ribosomal RNA". It matches the Rfam family "Bacterial small subunit ribosomal RNA", at positions 527 to 896 of the family's 1533-position model. The record is from RNAcentral.
AGAGAGUGCAAGCGUUAAUCGGAAUAACUGGGCGUAAAGCGCGCGUAGGUGGAUAUUUUAGUCGGAUGUGAAAGCCCCGGGCUUAACCUGGGGGUUGCACUCGAUACUGGGUAUCUAGAGUAUGGUAGAGGGAAGUGGAAUUUCCGGUGUAGCGGUGAAAUGCGUAGAUAUCGGAAGGAACACCAGUGGCGAAGGCGACUUCCUGGACUAAUACUGACACUGAGGUGCGAAAGCGUGGGGAGCAAACAGGAUUAGAGACCCUGGUAGUCCACGCUGUCAACGAUGAGAACUAGACGUUGGGGGGGGUAACCCCUUUAGUGUCGAAGCUAACGCGUUAAGUUCUCCGCCUGGGGAGUACGGCCGCGAGGUUA